Molecule: ribosomal RNA, 667 nt
Filed under: uncultured bacterium
Lineage: Bacteria
Description: bacterial SSU rRNA
Rfam family: Bacterial small subunit ribosomal RNA
Source: RNAcentral
UAACGCGUGGGCAACCUGCCCCAUACAGGGGGAUAACAGCCGGAAACGGCUGCUAAAACCGCAUAAGCGCACAAGGGCCGCAUGGCCUGGUGUGAAAAACUCCGGUGGUAUGGGAUGGGCCCGCGUCUGAUUAGCUAGUUGGCGGGGGAGAGGCCCACCAAGGCGACGAUCAGUAGCCGACCUGAGAGGGUGGCCGGCCACAUUGGGACUGAGACACGGCCCAAACUCCUACGGGAGGCAGCAGUGGGGAAUAUUGCACAAUGGGGGAAACCCUGAUGCAGCGACGCCGCGUGAGCGAAGAAGUAUUUCGGUAUGUAAAGCUCUAUCAGCAGGGAAGAAAAAUGACGGUACCUGAGUAAGAAGCACCGGCUAAAUACGUGCCAGCAGCCGCGGUAAUACGUAUGGUGCAAGCGUUAUCCGGAUUUACUGGGUGUAAAGGGAGCGCAGGCGGUGCGGCAAGUCUGAUGUGAAAGCCCGGGGCUCAACCCCGGGACUGCAUUGGAAACUACCGAACUAGAGUGUCGGAGAGGUAAGUGGAAUUCCUAGUGUAGCGGUGAAAUGCGUAGAUAUUAGGAGGAACACCAGUGGCGAAGGCGGCUUACUGGACGAUAACUGACGCUGAGGCUCGAAAGCGUGGGGAGCAAACAGGAUUAGAUACCCUGGUAGU